Molecule: unclassified non-coding RNA, 345 nt
Filed under: soil metagenome
Description: partial contains 5.8S ribosomal RNA, internal transcribed spacer 2, and large subunit ribosomal RNA
Rfam family: 5.8S ribosomal RNA (bases 1-120)
Source: RNAcentral
GAUGAAGAACGUAGCGAAAUGCGAUAGGUAAUGUGAAUUGCAGAAUUCAGUGAAUCAUCGAGUCUUUGAACGCACAUUGCGCCCUCUGGUAUUCCGGAGGGCAUGCCUGUCCGAGCGUCAUUGCUGCCCUCAAGCACGGCUUGUGUGUUGGGCUCCGUCCCCCGAUCCCGGGGGACGGGCCCGAAAGGCAGCGGCGGCACCGCGUCCGGUCCUCGAGCGUAUGGGGCUUUGUCACCCGCUCUGUAGGCCCGGCCGGCGCUUGCCGAUCAACCAAAUUUUUAUCCAGGUUGACCUCGGAUCAGGUAGGGAUACCCGCUGAACUUAAGCAUAUCAAUAAGCGGAGGA